CAGGAGGACUCUGAGACUCUUAUUAAGCCUAGGAUACACUUAGAAUGGCCAUCUUAAGUGCAUCUAGAAGCCACAGAGUUGUACAUGUGAAACAUUACGACAGAGUACGUGGAAGCUGUAGCUGAUGUUUAAGUGAGAACCCCAGAUCAGCACUGGCUUUAGGUGGCAUGAGGAUCUAGCUUGGUGUUGUGUGACACCCACAAAUAGCAUUAAUUCUGGAUUUUGGAAGUGGAAUUGUUGCCCUUCUAGGAUUGGCAGGCUCAUUGCACCAGGGAACCAAAUCACUGAUACUGUAAUGUGUAGUGGGGUGAGUUAAUCCCAUAAAGUUUUUUAAACAGUUCCUGAUGUUUAUCCUGUAGAAGCAGAAUAACCAGUGCCAGAGAUGUUUGGGGACAAAGUCUGCUCUGUUACAUUGGUGUGAAUCUGGAAAAACGUUGACUUCUAUGUAGAUACUGAAGAUAGACACUGUGUAACUGAGAGCAGAAGAUAUCCCAUAAUGUACAAAUCAGAAGAAUAUAAAAAUCCUCAAUGCAAAAUUCUGCUACUACAAAAAAGUGUCUGGCUUCCACCCUCAAGUC
Molecule: long non-coding RNA, 578 nt
Organism: Dermochelys coriacea (leatherback sea turtle)
Lineage: Eukaryota; Metazoa; Chordata; Testudines; Dermochelyidae
Exons: 4
Source: RefSeq, a predicted model, not a curated record